GUGCCAGCCGCCGCGGUAAUACCGGCAGCACGAGUGAUGGCCGAUAUUAUUGGGCCUAAAGCGUCCGUAGCCGGCCGGACAAGUCCGUUGGGAAAUCCACGCGCCUAACGCGUGGGCGUCCAGCGGAAACUGUCCGGCUUGGGGCCGGAAGACCCGAGGGGUACGUCCGGGGUAGGAGUGAAAUCCCGUAAUCCUGGACGGACCGCCGGUGGCGAAAGCGCCUCGGGAGGACGGACCCGACGGUGAGGGACGAAAGCCAGGGUCUCGAACCGGAUUAGAUACCCUGGUAGUCC
Molecule: ribosomal RNA, 293 nt
Filed under: uncultured bacterium
Lineage: Bacteria
Description: partial 16S ribosomal RNA
Rfam family: Archaeal small subunit ribosomal RNA
Source: RNAcentral